Molecule: long non-coding RNA, 1123 nt
Organism: Papio anubis (olive baboon)
Lineage: Eukaryota; Metazoa; Chordata; Mammalia; Primates; Cercopithecidae
Source: Ensembl
GGACGCCGAAGGACAGCAGAGUUGGUUGAUGGAGAGCAUCUGGUCAGCCUCCUGGCGUGCGUGGCAGGGCUGAGAAGGUGGCAAGUGAAUAUGGGGCUGGGGCUGGAAGACAUCCACGGCAGAUGACUGUAAGUGCUAUGGAGAAAAAUAAAGUAGGAAAGAGAGACAAGGAGGAAAUAGGGUAAGGAACAGAAAGAUAAAGAGAUUGCGACUUACCUGAGGUCACACACCGGUAAGGAGUGGAGUUGGUACUUUGGUUCCGGAAUCUAUGCUCCUAACUAUGCUAUGCUGCUUCUUAUUUCAUCUGGAAGAGUGUACACAUACAUGCUUAAAAUUAAUAAGAGUUUAGCAAGUUUGAUGGAUACAAAAAUUAAUUUAUUUCUAUGAGCCAAAAACAAAUAGUUAAAAAUGACACAAGAGCGUUAAAAAUUAUCAAGUGUUCAGAAUAAAUCUAUGAAAAGAUACACAAUGCUGCAUGGAAAACGUUUUUUAAAAUGGAGGGAUUUUAAAGACCUAAGUAAAUGGUGACAUAAUUCAUCUUCAAGAAUUGAAGAUUGCAUAUUGUAAAGAUGUCAGUUUACCCUAAAUGAUGUAUAAUUCAACGUAAUCCCAAUCAAAAUCCCAUCAAUGACUGUAUGUGUAAAUUGAUUAGCUAAUGCUAAAAUUAUGUGAAACUUCCAGAGGAAGAAUAACCAAGUCAAUUCUAAAGAAAGUCAAAGCUGGAGGAUUUUAAACUCCAGAUAUAAAGGCUUAUUACAAAGCAAUAGUAAUUGAGUGAGUCUGGUAUUGGGGCAUGUACAGAGAAGAGUUGACAUGCACAGCAAGCCUGAGAGCUAGCGUUUGGUAGGACUGUUUAGAGAGGUUGGCCUUGGCUGGUGUCUGAGAGCUUGAAUUUUGGGAGGGUUUCCACCACUUUAACAGAUAAGUGUGGCUAACUAUGCCUAAACUCUUUGUGCAAACAAUUUGGUUUAUACUUAACACCUGAGUCUAGAAUUUUUGCGUAUUCCAGGCAAAGCAUGCCCAUUGACAAGCCGCCAAUAAAAACUUUGGGUGCUAAGUCUCUAAUGAGCUUCCCUUUGACCUAACAAUUCUAUUCCUGGGAAUAUAUUUUAGAGCUGCUUGU